Molecule: ribosomal RNA, 292 nt
Filed under: uncultured bacterium
Lineage: Bacteria
Description: partial 16S ribosomal RNA
Rfam family: Bacterial small subunit ribosomal RNA
Source: RNAcentral
GUGCCAGCAGCCGCGGUAAUACGAAGGGGGCUAGCGUUGCUCGGAAUCACUGGGCGUAAAGGGUGCGUAGGCGGGAUCUUAAGUCAGAGGUGAAAGCCUGGAGCUCAACUCCAGAACUGCCUUUGAUACUGGGAUUCUUGAGUUCGGGAGAGGUGAGCGGAACUGCGAGUGUAGAGGUGAAAUUCGUAGAUAUUCGCAAGAACACCAGUGGCGAAGGCGGCUCACUGGCCCGAUACUGACGCUGAGGCACGAAAGCGUGGGUAGCAAACAGGAUUAGAUACCCUGGUAGUCC